AAUAGGUGCAGUGCAGGUGGACUCAAGGAAACAGAAUUACCAGUAAGUCUAAUUACGGUUUUCCAUUUCUUCGACCAUGACGGCUACACAUGAGAACUAUCAGAUUACUUGGUAGGGAGGGAAACUGCUUGCAGUACCUUCUGGCCAAAGGUCAUAUCAGCAGAAGCAGAGACAUCAAUACGAUAAUGUUUUAUAAA
Molecule: long non-coding RNA, 197 nt
Organism: Bufo bufo (common toad)
Lineage: Eukaryota; Metazoa; Chordata; Amphibia; Anura; Bufonidae
Exons: 3
Source: RefSeq, a predicted model, not a curated record